Molecule: small RNA, 473 nt
Filed under: Astrosclera willeyana
Lineage: Eukaryota; Metazoa; Porifera; Demospongiae; Agelasida; Astroscleridae
Description: partial large subunit ribosomal RNA
Rfam family: Eukaryotic large subunit ribosomal RNA
Source: RNAcentral
AAAAGAACUUUGGAGAGAGAGUCAAAAAGACCGCGAAACCGUUAGGAGGGAAGCGAAUGCAGCCAAAGUGGCUCUUGUUCAGGCUCAGGAGUUGUUGGCGUGCUGUGCUGGGAUGUCAGACGCCGUAGGGUGCUGCAGCUCGGAUACAGCUGUCGACCACUUUGCAUUCCUGACAAGAGCCAGCCAACGGCAGUUACCCCUGGCUCAAGAGGGUUGGCGGGAAGGUAGCUUCUUGGUUUACCAGGAAGAACUUAUAGCCACCAGCCUGGCAGUCUGGGAGUGACUGAGGAGUGCUGUGACUUUUUCACACCCGCAGUACAGGCUCCCCAGGGGCCGGGUCCCUUCUGCCUGUGUGGGCAACGCCACAGGGACUGCGUGCAGUGUCUGGGGACGGAUGUGUGCUCAGGCGGGAGGUCGGCCACGCCUUGUGCUGUAGUCGUUGGUAGCUGGAUGGCUUCAUUCGACCCGUCUUG